AAUUUGAAAAGACAGGACCAUAU
RNAcentral lists this non-coding RNA (23 nucleotides) under Arabidopsis thaliana (thale cress). The record is from RNAcentral. Lineage: Eukaryota; Viridiplantae; Streptophyta; Magnoliopsida; Brassicales; Brassicaceae.